GUGUGUGUGUGUCUUAUUUUUGCCUUCGAUCUGUAGCCACAUGGCUGUGUUCCCUUUCUGUUUGUUUUCCCACUUCCCUUCUAAAUAUUUUGCAUCAUCUGGGAGACUUUGCCAGGCCGAGGUCGGCUGGCUUGGAGGGCCGCAUUCCUCUGAUCUGUGGCAUUAGGUAGUUGCCAUGGCAAAGGCUGCUUACCAGGAGGAACACUUCUCAGAGCUGGGCAAUUCCGAGCUCUUUCUUCCUCUCCUCCACAUGCUUGGAUAUUCUGACACUCACACCAGCCCAGAGAGGGCUUUCUCCAAUCGUAAACUAUGUUCCUGGAACGUGAACUUUAUUUUGUUUGCCUUUCAAGAUACAGAACUAUUUGGCUCUGUUUAUUUUUGUUCCAAAUGGGCAGGGCCCUCUUGCCUGGUCUGACUAAUGCACUUGUCAGGGCUGGAAUCUCCUAACAGUUCCUUCCUCCAGGCUGGCCUGGCUACUUCCCAAAAUAGGAUCAGAGCUCCAAGGAAGCAGAGAGAGACAAGCAAGGUCUGUUGAAGCCCAAGCCUGGAGCUGACACUAGCCCAUUCAAUACCUCAAAUUGGACCAAGGAAAUAACAGCAGUACAGACAAAGGGGAGGAAAAUGGACUGCAUUUUUCUUGGGAAGGACUGCAAAGAGUUAUGGAAUUCUUGUAAUUAACCAGUAAAGAGACGUACACCAAUCCCCGACCCUGAUCCAUGACACUCUCUAAUCAGUAGUUCAUGAUGAGAACCUAGCCCAGCUUUGAAAAGGAAAAUAAUUAAAUCCAGGAAUGUAGCACAUUCUGGGUUACUAGGCUGUAAAGAAGUAUUUCUUUGUGUCCAGCAAAGCACCAGCUAGCAAUAAUUUGCUGAAGUAUGUCGUUGCGAAAUUCUUGAUGAUGCCAUCAGGUGCUUAGUAAAUGGUGUGAUGAUCUCUGCAUCGUUUACUUCCCUGUACACUGAUUUUUUGAUGAUGGUGGUAUCGAUGAUAAUUAUUUGUUUUCUAUGUGGAGGCUACAGACAUGGUGCGUUAAAACGUUAGUUUCAAUUAUACUCUUACUCUCUGUCUACUGGCAGUCUCGGUUGAGGAUGGGGAUAUGGUAACGUUUAGACUCUAAACUUUAAAGGGUUCAGUAACUUUAUCAGUUAUGCACCUAGAGGAAGUGAGCACCAAGAACAAACUUCAAGAUACAUUAAAAAUCCUGAUACAAUUCUGGGUCUCUGGACAUGUAUUUAUUAGUGCUAAGAGUCACCUAAGCAUCCUUAACAGAGAAUUAAAAAAAAAAAAAGUCAGCAAUUACAAGAGCACUAUCGGCAUCUCACAGAUUAGUUUAUCAAAACCAAAGGGGGGGGGGGGAAACCUGUCCAAAUCAACAAGCAAGUAUCAAAGCUGGAAUUGAAAUGUGCAUGUGGAAACACUAAGCUCUGUAUUGCUUCCCUUAAACCUCUGUGUUACAGAAGAGUAUGGCAGUGGUCAAUGCCCUCUCACUGAAUUCAUCUGGUUCUUAGAAUCACACGAAAUAACAAUUCUAUUGCCUUGUUUUUGGCAUCUAAAGAAUGUGGAGUUGGAGUAAAUAUGUUUUGUCUCCCCUUCCCUUACAUUUGAGUUUAUUUCUUUUUGGACACUUGUAUCCUAUUAACACUGACAUAUUUUAACACUUGCACUAUGGCCUGAACACUUCUGUAACAAACUCUGAAUUUGUUGUAAUAUUUAAUAGGACACACUUUGUAGCCUACCUUCAAAAAAUCUCAUGCAGUUCUACAUUUCUUCACGCAACAUGGAAGGAACAUAGACUGGCUGAGAGGAAUUUGGAAAGAUCUAUGUCUCAAAAUUAGCAGAACACUGACUGGAUUAAAAACGGGACCUCUGAAAAAUCAAGAAAGACAGACUGCAAAGGUCACAGCCUUCUAGAAGACCCAAAGACUAUCUGAUUUGAAGCAGUGCUCAGUACUUGCCUGGGAUACUACUGCAGUGUAGAUUCUCAACACAGGAAACAUUUUCAGAAAUGAACUCUCAAGUCUGUACUCCCACUACGGUACACAUUAGAAUGCCAUUCCAAUGUUGAAUUAAAGAUGCGUCACUGCCACCACCUA
This 2093-nucleotide long non-coding RNA is filed under the name Mus caroli (Ryukyu mouse). RNAcentral's name for it is "lncRNA (MGP_CAROLIEiJ_G0003820.1)". The record is from RNAcentral. Lineage: Eukaryota; Metazoa; Chordata; Mammalia; Rodentia; Muridae.